UUCUCAUUUCUCCUUCUUUCUAUUUAAUUCCAUUCAAUUGAAAUAUUCCGAGACAUUCCCCAUUUUUGUAACCACCUCUACAUACCUUAUUUUCUUCUAUUCUCAAUUCCCUCAUCAACAUCAUUAUAUAUAUCUGGCUCUGCUCUUCUUCCUUUCUAGUUCUCUUCUCUCUUCCAGAUAUAUGUACAGAUCAAGUCGUAUAUAUAGCAUGUUUUACUUAGUAGUUUGAAAGAGUUACCGUGAUGUUGGCUCUGUUCACUCAGAGAGUUAUAUGUAUAUAUAUGUAUAUAUGUGGGUUUAUUAGGUUGUGCUUUCUGAUUGAGCCGUGCCAAUAUCUCGGUUGUCUUUCAUUUCUCUCAUGCCAUGCCUAUCAACUCAGUAUCGAACGAGUCUCUCCUGUGAGGUUUGUAUCUUUGAUUUCUAUAAAUCUAUUGUUUUUUUUUGUUUUGAAAAUUAUAGUUCUGUAAACUCUCUUGAAGUGAUGAUCCCUAAUAACCCUAACUAACACCAUCUUUCUGGGCAAUAUAUAUAUAUGUGCGUGUGUGUGUGUGUUUAUAUCUUAUAUAACAUAUUGUGAAAAAGUGUAACGUUCAUGCUCAGAGAUAGAAUUGUAUAUAUUGUGCCACCAUAAAUGUGAAAGAAUGAAUAGUAAUUGGUUACUUUGAAGAAAUUUUCCGUGAGGGGUAUGGUUUAUCAGAUCAGAUCUCCUAUAAAGAAAGCUCAAAAAGGUUUGCAAGUAAUCGAAGUUGGUGUGAGCAUAGGAGUGAAAUUCCUUCAGUUUCUCUUCUGUUUUUUGUUUUGUUUAUUAUUGUUUAUUAUAUAUAUAUAUAUAUAUAUAUAGAGAGAGAGAGAGAGAGAGAUAACACAAAGUAGAUAAAGAGAUGUCUUUAUCAUAGUUUUGUUAAUUUUGGGAAUCAAGCAUUCUAUGUGUUCUUUAAUAGGAUGAGAAUUUAUGUA
This is a long non-coding RNA of Humulus lupulus (European hop), 957 nucleotides long. RefSeq lists it as uncharacterized. The record is from RefSeq and is a predicted model, not a curated record. NCBI's taxonomy places the organism in Eukaryota, Viridiplantae, Streptophyta, Magnoliopsida, Rosales, Cannabaceae. The transcript has 2 exons.